GGCGGGGNGCUAUACAUGCAGUCGAGCGAUGGAUUAAGAGCUUGCUCUUAUGAAGUUAGCGGCGGACGGGUGAGUAACACGUGGGUAACCUGCCCAUAAGACUGGGAUAACUCCGGGAAACCGGGGCUAAUACCGGAUAACAUUUUGAACCGCAUGGUUCGAAAUUGAAAGGCGGCUUCGGCUGUCACUUAUGGAUGGACCCGCGUCGCAUUAGCUAGUUGGUGAGGUAACGGCUCACCAAGGCAACGAUGCGUAGCCGACCUGAGAGGGUGAUCGGCCACACUGGGACUGAGACACGGCCCAGACUCCUACGGGAGGCAGCAGUAGGGAAUCUUCCGCAAUGGACGAAAGUCUGACGGAGCAACGCCGCGUGAGUGAUGAAGGCUUUCGGGUCGUAAAACUCUGUUGUUAGGGAAGAACAAGUGCUAGUUGAAUAAGCUGGCACCUUGACGGUACCUAAGCAGAAAGCCACGGCUAACUACGUGCCAGCAGCCGCGGUAAUACGUAGGUGGCAAGCGUUAUCCGGAAUUAUUGGGCGUAAAGCGCGCGCAGGUGGUUUCUUAAGUCUGAUGUGAAAGCCCACGGCUCAACCGUGGAGGGUCAUUGGAAACUGGGAGACUUGAGUGCAGAAGAGGAAAGUGUAAUUCCAUGUGUACCGGUGAAAUGCGUA
RNAcentral lists this ribosomal RNA (670 nucleotides) under Bacillus cereus. RNAcentral's name for it is "bacterial SSU rRNA". It matches the Rfam family "Bacterial small subunit ribosomal RNA", at positions 38 to 692 of the family's 1533-position model. The record is from RNAcentral. Lineage: Bacteria; Bacillati; Bacillota; Bacilli; Caryophanales; Bacillaceae.